UCCUGGCUCAGAUUGAACGCUGGCGGCAUGCUUUACACAUGCAAGUCGAACGGCAGCACGGGAGCUUGCUCCUGGUGGCGAGUGGCGAACGGGUGAGUAAUGCAUCGGAACGUACCCAGUAGUGGGGGAUAGCCCGGCGAAAGCCGGAUUAAUACCGCAUAUUUCCUGAGGGAGAAAGCGGGGGACCUUCGGGCCUCGCGCUACUGGAGCGGCUGAUGUCGGAUUAGCUAGUUGGUGAGGUAAAGGCUCACCAAGGCGACGAUCCGUAGCUGGUCUGAGAGGAUGAUCAGCCACACUGGGACUGAGACACGGCCCAGACUCCUACGGGAGGCAGCAGUGGGGAAUUUUGGACAAUGGGGGCAACCCUGAUCCAGCCAUGCCGCGUGAGUGAAGAAGGCCUUCGGGUUGUAAAGCUCUUUCAGGUGGAAAGAAAUCACUACCCCGAAUACGGGUGGUGGAUGACGGUACCAUCAGAAGAAGCACCGGCUAACUACGUG
Molecule: ribosomal RNA, 497 nt
Filed under: uncultured bacterium
Lineage: Bacteria
Description: bacterial SSU rRNA
Rfam family: Bacterial small subunit ribosomal RNA
Source: RNAcentral